AGAUUGAACGCUGGCGGCAUGCUUUACACAUGCAAGUCGAACGGUAACAGGCCGCAAGGUGCUGACGAGUGGCGAACGGGUGAGUAAUGUAUCGGAACGUGCCCAGUCGUGGGGGAUAACGCAGCGAAAGCUGCGCUAAUACCGCAUACGAUCUAUGGAUGAAAGCGGGGGACCGUAAGGCCUCGCGCGAUUGGAGCGGCCGAUAUCAGAUUAGGUAGUUGGUGGGGUAAAGGCUCACCAAGCCAACGAUCUGUAGCUGGUCUGAGAGGACGACCAGCCACACUGGGACUGAGACACGGCCCAGACCUCCGUACGGGAG
Molecule: ribosomal RNA, 319 nt
Filed under: uncultured soil bacterium
Lineage: Bacteria
Description: bacterial SSU rRNA
Rfam family: Bacterial small subunit ribosomal RNA
Source: RNAcentral